AUGAGCUCCUGAUUGAAUGAGUCAGUGAUGAUUUGUGACCUGCAUUAUUUCUGGAACUACAUUAAUUUUUUUUUAUUUUAAAACCUGGAUUAUACAAACAGCUGAUAAAGGAUUGGACACAUUUGUGUUCGGUGAUUAACAGUGAUCAUAAAACUUGUUCUUCUGGGUGUUACAGUGAUACACAGUGAUGCACUAAAAGGACAUGAUAUCUAAUGAGUAAAGAGCAGUUAUGGACUUGACAGCAUGAAACACAGCUGGAGUUUUACAGUAAGCUUUUUCUCUUCGUGGCUAUUCCUCUGUGAAUCGUUUUUAAGUCUCUAGUGGCCGUGCCAUGCAAAUUAUAUCCUGUGUUUGAACCAUUUAUGCUGAUACACAUUCAGCUCAACAUCAUACCAUCGGUUUCUGUUCAUUUACAGCAACAGUGAUCAUUUAAAUUAUUUGAGAUGGGAGUAGGCAGAGUUUUGAGUUACUUUGCUCUAGCAAUGUUCAUUCAAUAUUCCUGCACUCAGACACUAAUCGAGUCUGAUUCAGUGAACAUCAAACCUGAUCAGUCUCAUAAACUGACCUGCACAGCCUCUGGAUUGGACUUUAGUAACUACUGGAUGGCUUGGAUCAGACAGACACCUGGAAAAGGGCUGGAAUUUGUUGCAAUUAUAAGAUAUGACAGUGGUAGCACAUAUUACUCCAAUGAAGUUAAUGGCCGCUUCACCAUCUCCAGAGAAAACAGUAAGAAGCAGGUGUAUCUGCACAUGAACAGCGUGAGGACAGAAGACACCGCAGUGUAUUACUGCGCCCGUGACCCACACUGAUAGUUCUCCUUAGUCGUCAGUACAAAAACACAUGCGUGCUAUAGUCACAUGACAAGCUCAUAUUUUCAUAAACAGUGUAUUCAUGGAG
Non-coding RNA from Ictalurus furcatus (blue catfish), 897 nucleotides. NCBI's taxonomy places the organism in Eukaryota, Metazoa, Chordata, Actinopteri, Siluriformes, Ictaluridae. The record is from the annotation of a RefSeq genome assembly.